ACCGGAUAUGACUCCUCAUCGCAUGGUGGGGGGUGGAAAGCUUUUGUGGUUUUGGAUGGACUCGCGGCCUAUCAGCUUGUUGGUGGGGUAAUGGCCUACCAAGGCGACGACGGGUAGCCGGCCUGAGAGGGUGACCGGCCACACUGGGACUGAGACACGGCCCAGACUCCUACGGGAGGCAGCAGUGGGGAAUAUUGCACAAUGGGCGCAAGCCUGAUGCAGCGACGCCGCGUGAGGGAUGACGGCCUUCGGGUUGUAAACCUCUUUCAGUAGGGAAGAAUUUUAAUUGACGGUACCUGCAGAAGAAGCGCCGGCUAACUACGUGCCAGCAGCCGCGGUAAUACGUAGGGCGCAAGCGUUAUCCGGAAUUAUUGGGCGUAAAGAGCUCGUAGGCGGUUUGUCGCGUCUGCUGUGAAAGACCGGGGCUCAACUCCGGUUCUGCAGUGGGUACGGGCAGACUAGAGUGCAGUAGGGGGAGACUGGAAUUCCUGGUGUAGCGGUGAAAUGCGCAGAUAUCAGG
Molecule: ribosomal RNA, 520 nt
Filed under: Paenarthrobacter nicotinovorans
Lineage: Bacteria; Bacillati; Actinomycetota; Actinomycetes; Micrococcales; Micrococcaceae
Description: bacterial SSU rRNA
Rfam family: Bacterial small subunit ribosomal RNA
Source: RNAcentral